RNAcentral lists this ribosomal RNA (442 nucleotides) under uncultured bacterium. Its description in RNAcentral is "partial 16S ribosomal RNA". It matches the Rfam family "Bacterial small subunit ribosomal RNA", at positions 338 to 795 of the family's 1533-position model. The record is from RNAcentral.
CCUACGGGUGGCAGCAGUGGGGAAUAUUGGGCAAUGGGCGCAAGCCUGACCCAGCAACGCCGCGUGCAGGAAGAAGGCUUUCGGGUUGUAAACUUCUUUUAAGAGGGAAGAGCAGAAGACGGUACCUCUUGAAUAAGCCACGGCUAACUACGUGCCAGCAGCCGCGGUAAUACGUAGGUGGCAAGCGUUGUCCGGAUUUACUGGGUGUAAAGGGCGUGCAGCCGGGAAGACAAGUCAGAUGUGAAAUCCCGCGGCUCAACGGCGGAACUGCAUUUGAUACUGUUUUUCUAGAGUAUCGGAGAGGUAGUCGGAAUGCAUGGUGUAGCGGUGAAAUGCGUAGAGAUAAGGAAGAACACCGAUGGCGAAGGCAGAUGACUGGGCGGCUACUGACGGUGAGGCACGAAAGCGUGGGGAGCAAACAGGAUUAGAUACCCGGGUAGUC